RNAcentral lists this ribosomal RNA (439 nucleotides) under uncultured bacterium. RNAcentral's name for it is "partial 16S ribosomal RNA". It matches the Rfam family "Bacterial small subunit ribosomal RNA", at positions 339 to 795 of the family's 1533-position model. The record is from RNAcentral.
CUACGGGCGGCAGCAGUGAGGAAUAUUGCACAAUGGGGGGAACCCUGAUGCAGCAACGCCGCGUGGAGGAUGACGCAUUUCGGUGUGUAAACUCCUUUUACAUGUCAAGAAAAUGACGGUAGCAUAUGAAUAAGCACCGGCUAACUCCGUGCCAGCAGCCGCGGUAAUACGGAGGGUGCAAGCGUUACUCGGAAUCACUGGGCGUAAAGGACGCGUAGGCGGGUUGGAAAGUCAGGUGUGAAAUCCUACAGCUUAACUGUAGAACUGCACUUGAAACUUCUAGUCUUGAGUAUGGGAGGGGGAGAUGGAAUUAGUGGUGUAGGGGUAAAAUCCGUAGAUAUCACUAGGAAUACCUAAAGCGAAGGCGAUCUCCUGGAACAUUACUGACGCUAAGGCGUGAAAGCGUGGGGAGCAAACAGGAUUAGAUACCCCAGUAGUC